Molecule: ribosomal RNA, 253 nt
Filed under: uncultured bacterium
Lineage: Bacteria
Description: partial 16S ribosomal RNA
Rfam family: Bacterial small subunit ribosomal RNA
Source: RNAcentral
UACAGAGGUCUCAAGCGUUGUUCGGAUUCAUUGGGCGUAAAGGGUGCGUAGGUGGCGGGGCAAGUCUGGUGUGAAAUCCCGGGGCUCAACCCUGGAACUGCACUGGAUACUGCUUUGCUAGAGUACUGGAGAGGGAACUGGAAUUUACGGUGUAGCAGUGAAAUGCGUAGAUAUCGUAAGGAAGACCAGUGGCGAAGGCGAGUUCCUGGACAGUUACUGACGCUGAGGCACGAAGGCCAGGGGAGCAAACGGG